UGGAAGAACUGGGUGCAGGCUUGAU
This 25-nucleotide non-coding RNA is filed under the name Mus musculus (house mouse). The record is from RNAcentral. Lineage: Eukaryota; Metazoa; Chordata; Mammalia; Rodentia; Muridae.